UCCGGCUUGUCACCGGCGGUUUCUUCAGAGUGCCCGGCCUGACCCGGGGGCAACUGAAGAUGAGGGUUGCGCUCGUUGCGGGACUUAACCCAACAUCUCACGACACGAGCUGACGACAGCCAUGCAGCACCUGUGUUCUCGCCGGCCGAACCGAAGGAUCUGAUCUCUCAGACCCAUACGAGACAUGUCAAGGACUGGUAAGGUUCUUCGCGUUGCGUCGAAUUAAACCACAUACUCCACCGCUUGUGCGGGCCCCCGUCAAUUCAUUUGAGUUUCAACCUUGCGGCCGUACUCCCCAGGCGGCAUGCUUAGUGCGUUAGCUGCGACACUGUCCCCCUGAGGGGGUCAACGUCUAGCAUGCAUCGUUUACGGCGUGGACUAC
This 382-nucleotide unclassified non-coding RNA is filed under the name uncultured Rhodospirillales bacterium. Its description in RNAcentral is "contains 16S-23S intergenic spacer region". The record is from RNAcentral. Lineage: Bacteria; Pseudomonadati; Pseudomonadota; Alphaproteobacteria; Rhodospirillales.